This 927-nucleotide small RNA is filed under the name Rattus norvegicus (Norway rat). RNAcentral describes it as "uncharacterized LOC102551833". Lineage: Eukaryota; Metazoa; Chordata; Mammalia; Rodentia; Muridae. The record is from RNAcentral.
CUCCCUGUCUGUUCUGGUCUCAGUGUUCUGAAGACCUGGUGUGCUGACAUUUAAUCUCCAUCCUGAGAUAUCUCAAAGGAGUAGUCGUCUGACUGGAGUGGAGUCCUCAGAGAAUGAAGGGAGUUAGAAAAAGCCAUCAAGCAGAGUGCCUUCUCCGUGAGGCUUGCUGGCUGUAGAAAGGAAAAGAUGGUGAUGGUUAAGUCAGACCUGGAUGUGACCUACCGACAGAUCUUAUUCGAACAAGUGACUGAAAUAAUUUUCCUUCCGCUAUAUAAUGGGCAUAUCCACAGACCUUUCUUGGAGUAAGGACAGCAUAAAAACUUCCACAUGAGACCUGAUCCAUUCAUUUUCUUGUCAGCUGAUCAGCGAGGAUGCUGAACUCAGGAUAAAGUGGGGAGAGACAAGGGCUUGGUCCUGAAGAGAGUGUGACUACCUCCCUUGGGCAUGACCCUGCCCAGACUCGGAGAAAAUGUUUCAAUUUGAAGGAAAGGGCUGCUAUAGCAGGCAAAUUCUGCACUACUAAGGACUCUUAAAAUCCAGUCUUCCGAACCCCAGGCCUCUUCCUAACUCCCCACAUCAAUGAGUUUGACCUUGAACUUCAGAUCCUUUCACCACAACUUCCUGAAUGCUGUGCUUACAGGGGCGUGCCUGGUUUUAGCAGGACUGAAUCUCAAGCUCGCCACCCACACGCUAGAACAAAAGGACUUGCAAGUUGCACAGCUUCUGGAAACUUCCAUACACCAGAGGGAGGUAUAGGAAAUGUUCGGUUGGCUACAGUUAGAGGCAACUACUCUGUUGCUUCCAACUUAACUUCACAGCCUCCUCAGGUAACGGAGACAAAGACUUCUGCAACCAGGCCAGGCAGAGCUCCGUUCUUACCAUUAAAGUCCCCUUUGGUCUGCUGGCCCAAGGCAGACUCAUCCGAUA